Molecule: ribosomal RNA, 253 nt
Filed under: uncultured bacterium
Lineage: Bacteria
Description: partial 16S ribosomal RNA
Rfam family: Bacterial small subunit ribosomal RNA
Source: RNAcentral
UACGUAGGGUGCAAGCGUUGUCCGGAAUUAUUGGGCGUAAAGAGCUCGUAGGCGGUUCGUCGCGUCGGCUGUGAAAACCCGGAGCUCAACUCCGGGCCUGCAGUCGAUACGGGCGGACUUGAGUGUUGCAGGGGAGACUGGAAUUCCUGGUGUAGCGGUGAAAUGCGCAGAUAUCAGGAGGAACACCAGUGGCGAAGGCGGUUCUCUGGGCAUUACCUGACGCUGAGGAGCGAAAGUGUGGGGAGCGAACAGG